GUUUUUCGCUUUGAGAUGAGCCCGCGCGGGAUUAGCUAGUUGGUAGGGUAACGGCCUACCAAGGCUACGAUCUCUAGCUGGUCUUAGAGGAUGAUCAGCCACACUGGAACUGAGACACGGUCCAGACUCCUACGGGAGGCAGCAGUAGGGAAUAUUGCACAAUGGAGGAAACUCUGAUGCAGCGACGCCGCGUGAGUGAUGAAGGCCUUCGGGUCGUAAAGCUCUGUCGUACGGGACUAAGAAAGUG
Molecule: ribosomal RNA, 247 nt
Filed under: uncultured Bdellovibrio sp.
Lineage: Bacteria; Pseudomonadati; Bdellovibrionota; Bdellovibrionia; Bdellovibrionales; Pseudobdellovibrionaceae
Description: partial 16S ribosomal RNA
Rfam family: Bacterial small subunit ribosomal RNA
Source: RNAcentral